CAGCCGCCGCGGGAAUACGUAGGUGGCAAGCGUUGCCCGGAAUUAUUGGGCGUAAAGGGCUCGCAGGCGGUUUCUUAAGUCUGAUGUGAUAGCCCCCGGCUCAACCGGGGAGGAUCAUUGGAAACUGGGAAACUUAAGUGCAGAAGAGGAGAGUGGAAUUCCACGUGUAGCGGUGAAAUGCGUAGAGAUGUGGAGGAACACCAGUGGCGAAGGCGACUCUCUGGUCUGUAACUGACGCUGAGGAGCGAAAGCGUGGGGAGCGAACAGGAUUAGAUACCCCGGUAGUCCCUGUCUCUUAUAC
RNAcentral lists this ribosomal RNA (301 nucleotides) under uncultured bacterium. RNAcentral's name for it is "partial 16S ribosomal RNA". It matches the Rfam family "Bacterial small subunit ribosomal RNA", at positions 509 to 807 of the family's 1533-position model. The record is from RNAcentral.